UCAAGAUACAGUGAUGAACAAGAGUUAAGGGAUCUGCCUCAAAAAGCCUACAUGCUACUUGGAGGAAAAAGACUAGAUUAACAAGUUAACAAAAUAAAGAAGAUUCAGAUUGUGAUUGGUAAAAUAAGGGAAUUAACAAUGAGACAUGAUAGAAGAUAAACAUUUUCAAUGGAGAUGAUGAAAUCAGUGCAGACAAGGCUGCUUUUAUUUAAAAAGAGGAAUGAAAAGCAUGCUUUUUAAGCUAGUGGAUUGGCAAACAGAGUCAAAGGUUUUCAAAGAUCUGGCUGUUGCCCGACUGAUUUAAAGGUGAAUGGAAUUCCUCUAUGGAGAAAUUCAAUAUCCAAGGAGAAAGGACCCACUGAUAUGGAUUAAGCACAAUGAAAUGUCCCUGUCUCCACCUGUUCAUGACUCUGCAGUCCAGCUAUUGACAAGCAGCAGAAAUGUCCACUGAUGUUCACAGAUUUUUCAGUCAACUUUUUAAUACCUUAUUCUUAAAAAUGGAUAGAUGAUCAAGUUUAAAAGGUAUUUGUGGAAAACAUCUAAUGUAAUAGAUACAAACAAACAAAGUAAAGGGAAAUAAAAAAUAAAAUAAAAAUAGGCAAAGAAUAAUUAAAAAUUAAGAAAUUUUAAAUCCUGAAUUAAUACUCUCUGAAAAAUUUCAACAAACUAUGAGUCUAAUGCUGUGUUUCAAAGCAACAAGAGAGAUAUCUUUGAAAACAUCAUGACAUGAUAAAUUAAAUAAAACAUUAUUAAGAGGCUUAGAAGAUAUAACUGAGGAAAUCUCCCAGAAAAUAGAAUAACUAUGAAAGAAAGAUGGAAAUAGGAAAAAAAAAAAGUAAAUUAGAGCACCAAUCUCAGAGACACAACAUCCAACUGAUACCAGUUCCAGAAAGGAAAAACAGAAAAAAGCUAGGAAGAAAUUAUCAAAGAAAUAAUAUAAGACAAUGUUGCAGUAAUACAAUGUGUGGAUUUCCAGAUAUAAAGAACCCAAUGAAAGCUAAGUACAAUGAGUCAAAAACAUUAUAUCCUUGGAUAUUAUUGUGGAGUGUCAGAACUUUGGGUAUAAAUGGAAUGUGCUAAAAGAAUCUGGGGUGUUGGAAGAAGGAAGACAGUGUCAUCUUUAAAGACUUGAUAGUGAGAAUGGUAUUGGACUUCUCAGUAGCACUACUGGAAACAAAGGAAAGUGAACAAUUCCUUCAAAAUUCUGAAAAAAAUAAUUUUCAAUCUAUAACUGCAUACUAGGCAAAGUAUCAAUUGUGUAUGAAUGUCGAAUUGAAACAUUUUCAAAUCUCUAAUACUACUUAAUUAUAAAAUAGUUGUGAAUUUUUGCAAAAAAUAUUUCAAAAAACUUUGCUUCCCAUUUGACCAUAUUGGGAAGAGUUCUACAAUAUUAUUAGAGAGACAGGAAAUAUUUUAAUUAUAGGUACACAGAAAGCCAAGCAAACCAGCAAACAUCAUAAAUGUGGCAAUUAUCAAGUCUAGGCAAAGCAAAAGUUUGUGUAAAAAUUUACAAAAACUGGGGCACCUGGGUGGCUCAAUGGGUUAAGCAUCUGCCUUUGGCUCAGGUCAUGACUGCAGGGUCCUGCAUGGGACUCCCUGCUCAGUGGGGAGCCUGCUU
Zalophus californianus (California sea lion) is the source of this 1618-nucleotide long non-coding RNA. RefSeq lists it as uncharacterized. The transcript has 3 exons. Lineage: Eukaryota; Metazoa; Chordata; Mammalia; Carnivora; Otariidae. The record is from RefSeq and is a predicted model, not a curated record.